UGGGGAAUAUUGGACAAUGGGCGCAAGCCUGAUCCAGCAAUGCCGCGUGUGUGAAGAAGGCCUUCGGGUUGUAAAGCACUUUUAUCAGGAGCGAAACGCUGUCGGCUAAUACCCGGCGGAACUGACGGUACCUGAGGAAUAAGCACCGGCUAACUUCGUGCCAGCAGCCGCGGUAAUACGAAGGGUGCAAGCGUUAAUCGGAAUUACUGGGCGUAAAGCGUGCGUAGGCGGUUUCUUAAGUCUGCUGUGAAAUCCCCGGGCUCAACCUGGGAAUGCAGUGGAUACUGGGAGGCUAGAGUGUGUCAGAGGGUGGUGGAAUUCCCGGUGUAGCGGUGAAAUGCGUAGAGAUCGGGAGGAACAUCAGUGGCGAAGGCGGCCACCUGGGACAACACUGACGCUGAGGCACGAAAGCGUGGGGAGCAAACAGGAUUAGAUACCCUGGUAGUCCACGCCCUAAACGAUGCGAACUGGAUGUUGGUCUCAACUCGGAGAUCAGUGUCGAAGCUAACGCGUUAAGUUCGCCGCCUGGGGAGUACGGUCGCAAGACUGGAAACUCAAAGGAAUUGACGGGGGUCAAA
This 578-nucleotide ribosomal RNA is filed under the name uncultured bacterium. Its description in RNAcentral is "partial 16S ribosomal RNA". It matches the Rfam family "Bacterial small subunit ribosomal RNA", at positions 355 to 924 of the family's 1533-position model. The record is from RNAcentral.